This 253-nucleotide unclassified non-coding RNA is filed under the name uncultured Actinomycetes bacterium. Its description in RNAcentral is "uncultured actinobacterium contains 16S-23S intergenic spacer region". It matches the Rfam family "Bacterial small subunit ribosomal RNA", at positions 524 to 776 of the family's 1533-position model. Lineage: Bacteria; Bacillati; Actinomycetota; Actinomycetes. The record is from RNAcentral.
UACGUAGGGUGCAAGCGUUGUCCGGAUUUAUUGGGCGUAAAGAGCUCGUAGGCGGUCUGUUACGUCGGUUGUGAAAACUCGGGGCUUAACCCCGAGUCUGCAUCCGAUACGGGCAGACUUGAGUGUGGUAGGGGAGACUGGAAUUCCUGGUGUAGCGGUGAAAUGCGCAGAUAUCAGGAGGAACACUGAUGGCGAAGGCAGGUCUCUGGGCCACAACUGACGCUGAGGAGCGAAAGCGUGGGGAGCAAACAGG